GCAGUACGUAACUACAACACGAAAAAAGACCUCAACUUUUUGCACAAACUACAACUUCAACAAAUGAACGACUGUUAAUACUAAGAAUCCAACUUAUUAUAAAACCUUUCAUACAGUAAGUACAACAAUAAAAAGACUCCAACUUUUUCAACAAACUACAAGUACUCGAAAAGAACUAUCAAAGUGUUUGCUAAACAUUUCCU
Molecule: long non-coding RNA, 203 nt
Filed under: Capsicum annuum
Lineage: Eukaryota; Viridiplantae; Streptophyta; Magnoliopsida; Solanales; Solanaceae
Description: long non-coding RNA (CANN_LNC014828)
Source: RNAcentral